UGAUUCCUACGGGAGGCAGCAGUAGGGAAUCUUCCGCAAUGGGCGAAAGCCUGACGGAGCAACGCCGCGUGAGUGAUGAAGGGUUUCGGCUCGUAAAACUCUGUUAUUAGGGAAGAACAAAUGUGUAAGUAACUGUGCACAUCUUGACGGUACCUAAUCAGAAAGCCACGGCUAACUACGUGCCAGCAGCCGCGGUAAUA
This 200-nucleotide ribosomal RNA is filed under the name uncultured bacterium. Its description in RNAcentral is "partial 16S ribosomal RNA". It matches the Rfam family "Bacterial small subunit ribosomal RNA", at positions 333 to 525 of the family's 1533-position model. The record is from RNAcentral.